GCCCGGUUGGCUCAGUCAGUUAAGCAUCUGACUUUGGCUCAGGUCAUGAUCUCACAGUUCAUGGGUUCAAGCCCCACAUCAGGCU
Molecule: transfer RNA, 85 nt
Filed under: Felis catus (domestic cat)
Lineage: Eukaryota; Metazoa; Chordata; Mammalia; Carnivora; Felidae
Rfam family: tRNA
About the family: Transfer RNA (tRNA) molecules are approximately 80 nucleotides in length. Their secondary structure includes four short double-helical elements and three loops (D, anti-codon, and T loops). Further hydrogen bonds mediate the characteristic L-shaped molecular structure. tRNAs have two regions of fundamental functional importance: the anti-codon, which is responsible for specific mRNA codon recognition, and the 3' end, to which the tRNAs corresponding amino acid is attached (by aminoacyl-tRNA synthetases). tRNAs cope with the degeneracy of the genetic code in two manners: having more than one tRNA (with a specific anti-codon) for a particular amino acid; and 'wobble' base-pairing, i.e. permitting non-standard base-pairing at the 3rd anti-codon position.
Source: Rfam by way of RNAcentral